This 415-nucleotide ribosomal RNA is filed under the name uncultured Actinomycetes bacterium. Its description in RNAcentral is "bacterial SSU rRNA". It matches the Rfam family "Bacterial small subunit ribosomal RNA", at positions 9 to 428 of the family's 1533-position model. The record is from RNAcentral. Lineage: Bacteria; Bacillati; Actinomycetota; Actinomycetes.
GAGUUUGAUCAUGGCUCAGGACGAACGCUGGCGGCGUGCUUAACACAUGCAAGUCGAACGAUGAACCACUUCGGUGGGGAUUAGUGGCGAACGGGUGAGUAACACGUGGGCAAUCUGCCCUGCACUCUGGGACAAGCCCUGGAAAACGGGGUCUAAUACCGGGUAUGAGCCUGGGAGGCAUCUCCCGGGUUGUAAAGCUCCGGCGGUGCAGGAUGAGCCCGCGGCCUAUCAGCUUGUUGGUGAGGUAGUGGCUCACCAAGGCGACGACGGGUAGCCGGCCUGAGAGGGCGACCGGCCACACUGGGACUGAGACACGGCCCAGACUCCUACGGGAGGCAGCAGUGGGGAAUAUUGCACAAUGGGCGAAAGCCUGAUGCAGCGACGCCGCGUGAGGGAUGACGGCCUUCGGUUGUAA